This 512-nucleotide ribosomal RNA is filed under the name uncultured bacterium. RNAcentral's name for it is "bacterial SSU rRNA". It matches the Rfam family "Bacterial small subunit ribosomal RNA", at positions 17 to 518 of the family's 1533-position model. The record is from RNAcentral.
UUCUGGCUCAGGAUGAACGCUAGCUACAGGCUUAACACAUGCAAGUCGAGGGGCAGCAUGUGGUUGCUUGCAACCAAUGAUGGCGACCGGCGCACGGGUGAGUAACGCGUAUCCAACCUUCCCUAUAGUAGAGGAUAGCCCGGCGAAAGUCGGAUUAAUACUCUAUGUUUUCCAAUGCAGACAUCUAAGUUGGAACAAAGGUUCACCGCUAUAGGAUGGGGGAUGCGUCUGAUUAGAUAGUCGGCGGGGUAACGGCCCACCGAGUCGACGAUCAGUAGGGGUUCUGAGAGGAAGGUCCCCCACAUUGGAACUGAGACACGGUCCAAACUCCUACGGGAGGCAGCAGUGAGGAAUAUUGGUCAAUGGGCGAGAGCCUGAACCAGCCAAGUAGCGUGCAGGAUGACGGCCCUAUGGGUUGUAAACUGCUUUUAUACAGGGAUAAAGUGACGUACGUGUACGUUUUUGUAGGUACUGUAUGAAUAAGGACCGGCUAAUUCCGUGCCAGCCGCUGC